This 327-nucleotide ribosomal RNA is filed under the name uncultured eukaryote. RNAcentral describes it as "partial 18S ribosomal RNA". It matches the Rfam family "Eukaryotic small subunit ribosomal RNA", at positions 1470 to 1796 of the family's 1831-position model. The record is from RNAcentral.
CCCUUAGAUGUUCUGGGCCGCACGCGCGCUACACUGACGAAUGCAACGAGCUUAUAACCUUGGCCGAAAGGUCUGGGUAAUCUCCAAAUUUCGUCGUGAUGGGGAUAGAUUAUUGCAAUUAUUAAUCUUCAACGAGGAAUGCCUAGUAAGCGCAAGUCAUCAGCUUGCGUUGAUUACGUCCCUGCCCUUUGUACACACCGCCCGUCGCUCCUACCGAUUGAAUGGUCCGGUGAAGCGCUCGGACCGCGGCCUCUUGACGGUUUUCCGACGAUUGGCUGUGGGAAGUUCGUUAAACCUUAUCAUUUAGAGGAAGGAGAAGUCGUAACA